This 364-nucleotide unclassified non-coding RNA is filed under the name Acacia chrysella. Its description in RNAcentral is "partial external transcribed spacer". The record is from RNAcentral. Lineage: Eukaryota; Viridiplantae; Streptophyta; Magnoliopsida; Fabales; Fabaceae.
GUGCCCGUCCACCGAACGGUCGGCAGGCGAUCCGCGUCGGUCUCGCGAGGUGGUAUGGUUCCCCAGAGGCCGGUUCUUGUGCUGCCUACCCCUUCAGGGGAAGAGUUCCAGACUUGAUGUAAGCCUCCAUCCGGNGCCCUCCAAAGGGCGCGGGAGGACAGAGGAGCACCCCCCGCGUUCCACCGAGCCUCCUCGGUCGCGUGGCCCGCGGGGACGUGCGAUGCUCUCGGACCCAGCGAACGCCGUGGGCGAGGACUCACGUCCCGGUCCCAAGAGAAGCUCCGAUAGAAUGCAUGACGUCCGCUCCCGCCCCCCGACCGCCCAGGCGGCGCGGGGGCGAGGCGCGGCGUCGCGGAGGAAUGCU